UCAGUAACGCGUAGCCAACCUACCUUAUGGACGGGGAUAACCUCGGGAAACUGAGAAUAAUACCCGAUAGAACAUUAUGCCUGGAAUGGUUUAUGUUUCAAAUAAUUUAUUGCCGUAAGAUGGGACUGCGGCCUAUCAGUUUGUUGGUGAGGUAAUGGCCCACCGAGACUAUUACAGGUACGGGCUCUGAGAGGAGUAGCCCGGAGAUGGGUACUGAGACACGGACCCAGGCCCUAUGGGGCGCAGCAGGCGAGAAAACUUUGCAAUGUGCGAAAGCACGACAAGGUUAAUCCGAGUGGUUUCUGCUAAAGGAACCUUUUGUCAGUCCUAGAAACACUGAUGAAUAAGGGGUGGGCAAGUUCUGGUGUCAGCCGCCGCGGUAAAACCAGCACCUCAAGUGGUCAGGAUGAUUAUUGGGCCUAAAGCAUCCGUAGCCUGCUUUGUUAGUUUUCGGUUAAAUCCAUAUGCUCAACGUAUGGGCUGCCGGGAAUACUGCAAAGCUAGGGAGUGGGAGAGGUAGACGGUACUCGGUAGGAAGGGGUAAAAUCCUUUGAUCUAUUGAUGACCACCUGUGGCGAAGGCGGUCUACCAGAACACGUCCGACGGUGAGGGAUGAAAGCUGGGGGAGCAAACCGGAUUAGAUACCCGGGUAGUCCCAGCUGUAAACUAUGCAAACUCGGUGAUGCAUUGGCUUGAUGCCAAUGCAGUGCCGCAGGGAAGCCGUUAAGUUUGCCGCCUGGGAAGUACGUACGCAAGUAUGAAACUUAAAGGAAUUGGCGGGGGAGCACCACAAGG
Molecule: ribosomal RNA, 795 nt
Filed under: uncultured archaeon
Lineage: Archaea
Description: bacterial SSU rRNA
Rfam family: Archaeal small subunit ribosomal RNA
Source: RNAcentral